UAAUCUAACCUCACGCGUAAUUUGUAACGAGAGUGCAUUCUUAUACAUUUUAAAAUAACUUUUUACCGUUUUCAUAUAUUCGUGAGAGGCCGAUCCGCGGGAUGCCAACUGCCUCCAAUAAGUCGUGGUUGCUAGGUGAACUUGGGCUUGCAAAUCUCAAAAUUUCCACUUUUUUGCAUAUCGCGCGAGUAAAAAAGAAACGGCUAAAGAAAGUGGUGCGUUAAUUUUGUCCAGUAGUGUAUACCCAAACUCAUCCGCAUUUUUGGCAUAUGCUCACAAAAUUUGUGCCGCAGUCAAACGGUUAAGGUUGUGCCACGAAUGCCUCUUUUUCAUCGGUUCUAUACUACACAUACGUUACAAUGACACACGAAUCGCUACCAUUGUUGCUCUCGUACUUCAUCAAUGUACAAAGCAAUAUGGAAAAAAAUAGUUUCCCUUGUUCCGCGAUUGCAAGAUAGCUUAGAAACUGUCAUGUGCGAUUACGAGAAAGCUGUAAUGGAAGGGGUACAAGCACAAUUUCUCACAGUCACAAUACAUGGCUGUUGGUUUCAUUUUAAUCAGGAAACAGAGGAAGUUAAGAUAACAAAAUGCACAAAAAGGAAUUCUCUCAAUGACUAUGACAAUGCCUUUAGUUCCACCGGACAUGUUUCCAGAAGCGUUACAUCACAUGCAGUUAGUUGCAGAUCAUUUAUGUGGCACUUUCCCGAAUGUGCUCCAGUUUAUGCCGUAUCUACGCAAUGUGUGGCUACCUAUUUCUUCGAAGGUCAGCGUAUUAGGGUGUCCCCUAGAUAAUUUAUCCAAACUAAUAACAGAUGAAACGAUUAAUUAAGUUAGCCCAAGAUAAUUUAAUCUCCGGGAUAUUGUGCAUCUAGCAAUUUUUAAACAUGUUUAGUAACGAUUAUGACACCAAUAUAAUAACAAUUCGUUACCAAGAGACUGCGAUGAAAAUGAUGCAUUUAAUGGAACUCUCACGGAUGAAACGUUUAGUAUAGAAAAUAAAUUGCCUGAUUACAUGCCUAAUGAAGACCCUGUUCAACUAGAAAGUACAUCAAUCAAUGAUAUUAAUAACAAUGAUUCGUGUUUCUAAUUAUUCUAGUCGUUAAUUAUAUUUACUAUUCAACAUAUUUACUAUUCAGCACAACAAUUAUCAUAUAUUAUCUUUUAUAUGUGAUGUUCUAACAAUAUCAAUGGAUAAUAUUAAUAUAUGUAUAUCCAGAAAGUGAAAGAAUAUCUAUAUAUAAUUCAAUAGAAGACAGUUGUAAUAAAAGUGAGUCUCUUACACAUUCACAAAAUGGUAACAAGAAAAAAAACAGUGGUAGGUAAAAUUCUGAUCAUCAAUCUAUCUUAUUAAUAUUUUGAUUAUGUAUUACAAAGUCAGUAAAUUUUAUUAAGGUCUUAUUUAAUGUGUACUUAUGCACUUUAAGUGUUGUUCCUUCAGCAUCCAUUGACAAAGCCAGCAGUAUUUCCACAAAAGCUUUACAGAAAUUACACAUAAGUGAAGUUUGUCAGUUUGUUAACAUUUAACUUGCUAUCUUUGAUAAAUACCAUGCAAAUUGAAUAUUUAUGUAAAAUACCAUGGAUUAUAAGUGGAUAAUAGAUAUAGUAUACAAUACCACACAAUAUUAUUUUAUUUCGUUAUCUAUCAAUGUAAAAUUAAA
Molecule: long non-coding RNA, 1658 nt
Organism: Megachile rotundata (alfalfa leafcutting bee)
Lineage: Eukaryota; Metazoa; Arthropoda; Insecta; Hymenoptera; Megachilidae
Source: RefSeq, a predicted model, not a curated record